UCAAAAGGUCUUAGUGGCGAACGGGUGAGUAACACGUAAGUAACCUACCUUUAAGACGAGGAUAACAAUCGGAAACGGUUGCUAAGACUGGAUAGGAAACAGAAAGGCAUCUUUUUGUUUUUAAAAGACCUUCUUCGGAGGGUAUGCUUAAAGAGGGGCUUGCGCCACAUUAGUUAGUUGGUGAGGUAAAGGCUUACCAAGAUUAUGAUGUGUAGCUGGACUGAGAGGUUGAACAGCCACAUUGGGACUGAGACACGGCCCAAACUCCUACGGGAGGCAGCAGUAGGGAAUUUUCGGCAAUGGAGGAAACUCUGACCGAGCGACGCCGCGUGAACGAUGAAGUAUUUCGGUAUGUAAAGUUCUUUUAUUGAAGAAGAAAAAAUAGUGGAAAAACUAUCUUGACGUUAUUCAAUGAAUAAGCCCCGGCUAACUAUGUGCCAGCAGCCGCGGUAAGACAUAGGGGGCGAGCGUUAUCCGGAAUUAUUGGGCGUAAAGGGUGCGUAGGCGGUUAGAUAAGUCUAUAAUUUAAUUUCAGUGCUUAACGCUGUCUUGUUAUAGAAACUGUCUUGACUAGAGUGAGAUAGAGGCAAGCGGAAUUCCAUGUGUAGCGGUAAAAUGUGUAAAUAUAUGGAGGAACACCAGAAGCGUAGGCGGCUUGCUGGGUCUUUACUGACGCUGAGGCACGAAAGCGUGGGGAGCAAACAGGAUUAGAUACCCUGGUAGUCCACGCUGUAAACGAUGAGUACUAAGUGUCGGGGAAACUCGGUACUGAAGUUAACACAUUAAGUACUCCGCCUGAGUAGUACGUACGCAAGUAUGAAACUUAAAGGAAUUGACGGGACUCCGCACAAGCGGUGGAUCAUGUUGUUUAAUUCGAAGAUACACGAAAAACCUUACCAGGUCUUGACAUACUCUGCAAAGCUAUAGAAAUAUAGUGGAGGUUAUCAGGGAUACAGGUGGUGCAUGGUUGUCGUCAGUUCGUGUCGUGAGAUGUUAGGUUAAGUCCUAAAACGAACGCAACCCCUGUCGCUAGUUGCCAGCACGUAAUGGUGGGGACUUUAGCGAGACUGCCAAUUAAACAUUGGAGGAAGGUGGGGAUAACGUCAAAUCAUCAUGCCCCUUAUGAUCUGGGCUACAAACGUGAUACAAUGGCUAUUACAAAGAGUAGCUGAAACGCGAGUUUUUAGCCAAUCUCAAAAAGGUAGUCUCAGUACGGAUUGAAGUCUGCAACUCGACUUCAUGAAGCUGGAAUCGCUAGUAAUCGCGAAUCAGCAUGUCGCGGUGAAUACGUUCUCGGGGUUUGUACACACCGCCCGUCAAACCACGAAAGUUAGCAAUACCCGAAAGCAGUGGCUUAACUUCGCAAGAAGAGGGAGCUGUCUAAGGUAGGGUUGAUGAUUGGGGUUAAGUCGUAACAAGGUAUCCUUACCGGAAGGUGAGGAUGGAUCACCUCCUUU
RNAcentral lists this ribosomal RNA (1457 nucleotides) under Candidatus Phytoplasma ulmi. RNAcentral describes it as "bacterial SSU rRNA". It matches the Rfam family "Bacterial small subunit ribosomal RNA". The record is from RNAcentral. Lineage: Bacteria; Bacillati; Mycoplasmatota; Mollicutes; Acholeplasmatales; Acholeplasmataceae.